GGGCGUGGUUCUGAAAUAAUAUAAAACAAAACAAACAACGUAAACAACUUGGAAGCGAUUUUUGCAGAGUCUGGAGAGAAGUAAUUUACCGGCCUUAGAUUUACAAGAAGUCUAUAAUGGAAGUGUUUCGUCGUUUGAAAGAGUAUAUUUGUUGGUUAUAUACUCAAUACACCCUUGUGACUGCUGUUUAUAUGCUCGAACCAGCAGAAAGAUAUACUUUCAAUUCAAUCAUCGUGCUGACAAUUCUAACCGCUGCCUACACCACCUAUAUCUACUUGCCAUCUCACUGUGCCAUGGUACUUGGAUACCUUGGGUUGCUUGAUGCCGCCUCUCCGACAACAUGACAGAGGAUUGGAUACGUGGGACUGGUAACAAAAUGGCCGAGGAUGAGAUACAUUUGAUUCAAAACUCUGAAGGGAUUAUUAUGUCAUGAAGAGGCUUAAUGCUGAUGGAUGACGUGUUUCAUGAAAGGACUUGUCAAAAUGCUAUAUCCGACAGUUGCCAUAGAAACUGUGCUUCUCAGCCAAUCAGGGAAGUUGGCAGAUAUGACAACUUGGUCGGGCGGAAAGUGUUGAUGAUAUCAGCAGCUGCUCUCAAGUGCAACUGUGUUCUCCAAGAAAUAGCUUACUGAAUCUCCAAUGAAUUAUGUUUCAUAGCCUCAUUCCCCGGAUCGGAAAAUGCAUUGCCUAUAGUGUAAACUCUUUUUAACGUUCAGUAUUUUUAAACGAAAAGAAAGAAAAUCCAAAAAAGGUACUUCCUCUUCUUUCUGUGCAAUGUACAAUUUGAGAAGAUAGUCGUCUUUCACCACCCGCACCAUCCCCCUUCCUCGCUUGCUUUGAACCGUUUGUUUUCCAGUGAUAAUCAAGUUCUUUUGCCAAGAAUAUUUGUUGUAGGGCUGUAGGGUAAGGUAGAAUGUGAACAUUUUUGUUCAAUGCAUAUUGUGGGCUUUCUUUCUAACAAAAUUUCAAGAUUCUUCCUUAUUCUUAGUUACAUGUAAUUUUAAUUUUGAAUGGAUGUCAUGUAAUUAUGGUAUUGUGAUAAUUGCGUGAACCUAUUGACGAGGGGCUCUUUGCAUAAAAGUUAUCAUUAUGGUAACUUGGCCAUGUAAAUGUAACUUGCAUGGAAUCCUUUAUAUUGAUUGGCUGCUGAUCAGCGUUACCAUGGUAGUUAACCAUUGGAGGGCAAAGUUACCAGAAUUAUAUUAACUUUUAUGCUACAGGGCCCCUGGGUGGUAUUCAAUUUCGCCAUAAUUUUAUAUAUUUUACUUGGUGUUUUGCUUAAUUACAAUAGUUAUAAAUAGGGAUUCAGAAUGGAGGCUUCUUGAGGGCAGUAGUGCACAUGCAGUUCUCCCUGGAUGCUCACGGUGCUAUCCUAGCAACAGUUCUACAUGUAUUAAUAAUGGAGAGUGCAGACUGAAACACUGACUAUAAAUUGUAGUACUGCUAAUUCUUCAUUAAAAGACAAACAUUUUCCUUUGUUUAAACAAUACUGAACAUGUACCUGCUCCUUUUAGUUUUCUCAGUGAUAUUCAUUUGACCAUGUGAAGACCUAGAUAGAUAUUGAUGAUUACAUGAAUUUUCUUUUAAAAGUGAGUGAGUUUUAAUAGAAUCAAAAUUGCACUAGGUCUGAUGAAAAGUGCAAUUUGGAUUCUAUUGCGAUACAUCUUUUUGUAUAAAAUAAGGGAUGAAUUAUGGGUACACAUUUGGAUAUUCCAAAAUAUAUAUCCUUGUUGAACAGAGUGAGAGGUGAAUUUUUUUUUUACAAAGUGACUGUGGUCGUCCACUUUGACUUUCACAGUGAAUAGAUUAUUUUCUUCCUAGUUUCUAUGCCGUAUGAAGUGUAAUUAAUCCAUGAUGCAUACAAGUAUGUGAAUGAAGGUCAUUUGCACGAUGUUGAGAUCUUAUAGUUAUAAUUCUGUUUUAUUUCUUGUUCCUUUUUUAUAGUAAUGGUAGUGCAAGACAUUUCUUAUAUUGCUUUGUGAUUCUACAGGGCUUUUAUGUUCAGGAGAUAUUUUGGGCCUCAUUUAUCUGACUUGCAAAUUUAUUUCAGUUAUUUUUUUUUAUUUGUAUACUAUGGCAAAGUGCUGUGAGAAAUCAUUAUAAGAAAUUAUAACACACAGCAAGUGGGUUUUUAUUUCUAACUUCCAUGUUACUUACAAGGUGAACAGCUAUCGGUAUGUCAAUUUAAAACUUUCAACUUGCAGAUUGAUAUUCUUAGAAAAGGGACUCAUGCUUUUCUGGUUUUCAUCCGGAAAUAUUUGAUAUUUUGAGAAUGCAUUAGUAGCUAUUUGCCACACUGUUAAACUCCUAUGUGUUUUUAUGUGUGAAUACUGGUAUUUUUCAACUGACUCAGUAGCAAAGACAUUCUUCCAUCUUGAAAGCUUUUAGACGUCUCUGGGUCAUACACGGAGCAACACAUAAUGCAUGCAAAGUGAUAUCCUUUUAACUUAAUAUCCCAGUUUAGCUCGUUGGAAGAGCUUCUUUAGGGAUUUCUUCUACAAGGUGCAAGGUAUCAAAUUACUGGUAUUCUCACCCUUAAAAUGGUAUCUUCAGGGGUGUAUAAUGUAAAUUUCAACAAGGUCUUUUGUUGAAUUAAAAUCGUCAACGUGUAGUGGAAAUCUUCAGGAUGCGAUGCAAACAAAAAGAAUUGAACGUAAAUUCAUGACGCCCUUGUACAAGAUUUAAUUUAGUAAAUGUAUUGUAUUAUACAUUUACUUUUAAUUGAUGAACAAUGAUUCAUUUGGAUUUAUGACAUCUGAAAUACAUAUGGAAACAUUUUUUUUCUUUCUCAAAUUUCUUGCAUUUGAAAGACGGAUGUCAGCUGCAUGUAAUAAUACAAAAUAGUAUAUUUUUGCUGUUGUCAAUGAAGUUUUUCAUUAUGUUUUGAUACUGGUUAUAAUUGAUUUGUGAGAUACUUGUACAUGUAUUUAUAAUAAAUUUUCAUAUGACUAGGAAAAUAUCUUGUUUCUUUUUGGUUUCUUGAAUUGCAUCCAGAUAUUUUGAUUUUU
This 3007-nucleotide long non-coding RNA is filed under the name Lytechinus variegatus (green sea urchin). Its description in RNAcentral is "uncharacterized LOC121418335". The record is from RNAcentral. Lineage: Eukaryota; Metazoa; Echinodermata; Echinoidea; Temnopleuroida; Toxopneustidae.